Molecule: ribosomal RNA, 271 nt
Filed under: uncultured prokaryote
Description: partial 16S ribosomal RNA
Rfam family: Bacterial small subunit ribosomal RNA
Source: RNAcentral
UACGUAGGAGGCGAGCGUUAUCCGGAUUUAUUGGGCGUAAAGAGCGCGUAGGCGGCCUAUUAAGUCAGUUGUGAAAUCUCCCGGCUCAACCGGGAGAGGUCGGCUGAUACUGGUGGGCUUGAGGGCAGCAGAGGGAGGUGGAAUUCCCGGUGUAGCGGUGAAAUGCGUAGAGAUCGGGAGGAACACCAGUGGCGAAGGCGGCCUCCUGGGCUGUUUCUGACGCUGAGGCGGCGAAAAGCGUGGGGAGCAAACAGGAUUAGAUACCCUCGUA